UCGAGGAUCUUCGGCAAUGGGCGCAAGCCUGACCGAGCGACGCCGCGUGCGCGAUGAAGGCCUUCGGGUUGUAAAGCGCUGUCGAGGGGGAGGAAGCCGCAAGGUUGACCUAUCCCUGGAGGAAGGACGGGCUAAGUUCGUGCCAGCAGCCGCGGUAAGACGAACCGUCCAAACGUUGUUCGGAAUCACUGGGCUUAAAGGGCGCGUAGGCGGACCACCAAGUCCGGGGUGAAAUCUUUCGGCUUAACCGGAAAAGUGCCUUGGAUACUGGUGGUCUCGAGUGAGGUAGGGGCAUGUGGAACUUCUGGUGGAGCGGUGAAAUGCGUUGAUAUCAGAAGGAACUCCGGUGGCGAAAGCGACGUGCUGGACCUCUUCUGACGCUGAGGCGCGAAAGCUAGGGGAGCGAACGGGAUUAGAUACCCCCGUAGUCC
Molecule: ribosomal RNA, 431 nt
Filed under: uncultured bacterium
Lineage: Bacteria
Description: bacterial SSU rRNA
Rfam family: Bacterial small subunit ribosomal RNA
Source: RNAcentral